Molecule: ribosomal RNA, 271 nt
Filed under: uncultured bacterium
Lineage: Bacteria
Description: partial 16S ribosomal RNA
Rfam family: Bacterial small subunit ribosomal RNA
Source: RNAcentral
UACGUAGGGUGCGAGCGUUAAUCGGAAUUACUGGGCGUAAAGCGUGCGCAGGCGGUUAUGUAAGACAGAUGUGAAAUCCCCGGGCUCAACCUGGGAACUGCAUUUGUGACUGCAUGGCUAGAGUACGGUAGAGGGGGGAUGGAAUCCGCGUGUAGCAGUGAAAUGCGUAGAUAUGCGGAGGAACACCGAUGGCGAAGGCAAUCCCCUGGACCUGUACUGAGCUCAUGCACGAAAGCGUGGGGAGCAAACAGGAUUAGAUACCCCGGUGUCA